Molecule: ribosomal RNA, 231 nt
Filed under: uncultured bacterium
Lineage: Bacteria
Description: partial 16S ribosomal RNA
Rfam family: Bacterial small subunit ribosomal RNA
Source: RNAcentral
AGUGAACGCUGGCGGCAGGCCUAACACAUGCAAGUCGAACGGCAGCACAGCAGUAGCAAUACUGUGGGUGGCGAGUGGCGGACGGGUGAGGAAUACAUCGGAAUCUGCCCUAUCGUGGGGGAUAACGUAGGGAAACUUACGCUAAUACCGCAUACGACCUCGGUGAAGACGUGGAUCGCAAGACCACGCGCGAUUGGAUGAGCCGAUGUCGGAUUAGCUAGUUGGCGGGGU